CCGGUGCCAGCCGCCGCGGUAACACCGGCAGCCCGAGUGGUGAUCACUAUUAUUGGGUCUAAAGGGUCCGUAGCCGGUUUAAUCAGUCUUCUGGGAAAUCUAAUCGCUUAACUAUUAGGCUUCCAGGGGAUACUGUUAGACUUGGGACCGGGAGAGGUAAGAGGUACUGCAGGGGUAGGAGUGAAAUCUUGUAAUCCCUGUGAGACCACCAGUGGCGAAGGCGUCUUACCAGAACGGGUCCGACGGUGAGGGACGAAAGCUGGGGGCACGAACCGGAUUAGAUACCCGGGUAGUCCCAGCUGUAAACGAUGCUCGUUAGGUGUCAGGAACGGUGCGACUGUUUCUGGUGCCGAAGGGAAGCCGUGAAACGAGCCACCUGGGAAGUACGGCCGCAAGGCCGAAACUUAAAGGAAUUGGCGGGGGAGCACUACAACGGGUGGAGCCUGCGGUUUAAUUGGACUCAACGCCGGAAAACUCACCGGGGGCGACAGCAAUAUGUAGGUCAGGUUAAAGGUCUUACCUGAAUCGCUGAGAGGAGGUGCAUGGCCGUCGUCAGUUCGUACUGUGAAGCAUCCUGUUAAGUCAGGCAACGAGCAAGACCCGUGCCCACUGUUACCAGCAUAUCCUUUAUGGAUGAUGGGGACUCUGUGGGGACCGCUGCUGCUAAAGCAGAGGAAGGUGCGGGCUACGGUAGGUCAGUAUGCCCCGAAUCUCCCGGGCUACACGCGGGCUACAAUGGUUGGGACAAUGGGUAUCUACUCCGAAAGGAGUUGGCAAUCUCUUAAACCCAAUCGUAGUUCGGAUUGAGGGCUGUAACUCGCCCUCAUGAAGCUGGAAUCCGUAGUAAUCGCGUUUCAACAUAGCGCGGUGA
This 871-nucleotide ribosomal RNA is filed under the name uncultured archaeon. RNAcentral's name for it is "bacterial SSU rRNA". It matches the Rfam family "Archaeal small subunit ribosomal RNA", at positions 452 to 1321 of the family's 1478-position model. The record is from RNAcentral.